CUACACAUGCAGUCGAGCGGUAACAGGGGGUGCUUGCACCCCGCUGACGAGCGGCGGACGGGUGAGUAAUGCAUAGGAAUCUGCCCAGUAGUGGGGGAUAGCCCGGGGAAACCCGGAUUAAUACCGCAUACGUCCUUCGGGGGAAAGCAGGGGAUCUUCGGACCUUGCGCUAUUGGAUGAGCCUAUGUCGGAUUAGCUAGUUGGUGGGGUAAAGGCCUACCAAGGCGACGAUCCGUAGCUGGUCUGAGAGGAUGAUCAGCCACAUCGGGACUGAGACACGGCCCGAACUCCUACGGGAGGCAGCAGUGGGGAAUAUUGGACAAUGGGGGCAACCCUGAUCCAGCCAUGCCGCGUGUGUGAAGAAGGCUUUCGGGUUGUAAAGCACUUUCAGUGAGGAGGAAAACCUUCUGGUUAAUACCCAUGAGGCUUGACGUUACUCACAGAAGAAGCACCGGCUAACUCCGUGCCAGCAGCCGCGGUAAUACGGAGGGUGCAAGCGUUAAUCGGAAUUACUGGGCGUAAAGCGCGCGUAGGUGGUUUGAUAAGCGAGAUGUGAAAGCCCCGGGCUUAACCUGGGAACGGCAUUUCGAACUGUCAGGCUAGAGUGUGG
RNAcentral lists this ribosomal RNA (610 nucleotides) under Marinobacter sp. Its description in RNAcentral is "bacterial SSU rRNA". It matches the Rfam family "Bacterial small subunit ribosomal RNA", at positions 49 to 651 of the family's 1533-position model. Lineage: Bacteria; Pseudomonadati; Pseudomonadota; Gammaproteobacteria; Pseudomonadales; Marinobacteraceae. The record is from RNAcentral.